This 497-nucleotide ribosomal RNA is filed under the name uncultured bacterium. RNAcentral describes it as "partial 16S ribosomal RNA". It matches the Rfam family "Bacterial small subunit ribosomal RNA", at positions 28 to 523 of the family's 1533-position model. The record is from RNAcentral.
GAUGAACGCUGGCGGCGUGCUUAACACAUGCAAGUCGAACGAAGCAUUUAGAACAGAUUAUUUCGGUAUGAAGUUCUUUAUGACUGAGUGGCGGACGGGUGAGUAACGCGUGGGUAACCUGCCUUGUACUGGGGGAUAGCAGCUGGAAACGGCUGGUAAUACCGCAUAAGCGCACAAUGUUGCAUGACAUGGUGUGAAAAACUCCGGUGGUAUAAGAUGGACCCGCGUCUGAUUAGCUAGUUGGUGAGAUAACAGCCCACCAAGGCGACCAUCAGGAGCCGCCCUGAGGGGGGGGCCGGCCGCAUUGGGACUGAGCCACGGACCAGACUCGUACGGGAGGAAGCAGUGGGGAAUAUUGCACAAUGGAGGAAACUCUGAUGCAGCGACGCCGCGUGAGUGAAGAAGUAAUACGUGAUGUAAAGCUCUAUCAGCAGGGAAGAUAGUGACGGUACCUGACUAAGAAGCUCCGGCUAAAUACGUGCCAGCAGCCGCCGUAA